UUAAAAAAGAUAAGCU
RNAcentral lists this transfer RNA (16 nucleotides) under Tetraclita rubescens. RNAcentral describes it as "partial tRNA-Met". The record is from RNAcentral. Lineage: Eukaryota; Metazoa; Arthropoda; Thecostraca; Balanomorpha; Tetraclitidae.